RNAcentral lists this ribosomal RNA (543 nucleotides) under uncultured delta proteobacterium. RNAcentral describes it as "bacterial SSU rRNA". It matches the Rfam family "Bacterial small subunit ribosomal RNA", at positions 9 to 527 of the family's 1533-position model. Lineage: Bacteria; Deltaproteobacteria. The record is from RNAcentral.
GAGUUUGAUCAUGGCUCAGAACGAACGCUGGCGGCGUGCCUAACACAUGCAAGUCGUACGAGAAAAUUCGCUUCGGCGGAUGAGUAAAGUGGCGCACGGGUGAGUAACGCGUGGAUAAUCUUCCCUUUAGUCCGGGAUAACUCACCGAAAGGUGAACUAAUACUGAAUAAUACUGUUUCUGCUAAGGCGGAGCAGUUAAAGAGGACCUCUGUAUACAAGUUCUUGCUAAAGGAUGAGUCCGCGUACCAUUAGCUAGUUGGUAGGGUAAUAGCCUACCAAGGCGACGAUGGUUAGCUGGUCCGAGAGGAUGACCAGCCACACUGGAAUUGAGAUACGGUCCAGACUCCUACGGGAGGCAGCAGUGAGGGAUUUUGCGCAAUGGGGGAAACCCUGACGCAGCAACGCCGCGUGAGUGAGGAAGGCCUUCGGGUCGUAAAGCUCUGUCAGAUGGGAAGAAAUGCGGGAAUGUCAAUAGCUUUCCCGCUUGACGGUACCAUCAGAGGAAGCACCGGCUAACUCCGUGCCAGCAGCCGCGGUAAUACG